AAAACCCCAAACUCACAUUUUGAAUUUGUGUUAAAUUUGAAGGUUUCCUUGAAAACCUCUCAUUAAGGACCCCACACUCACAUUUUGAAUUUGUGCUGAAUUUGAGGGUGUCCUUGCAGCAGCUCUGCCAGCUUGGAUGCAGAAGCUGGCUGACAGAGAAGGGGGCAAAAAAAACCCACUUUGAACCAUCAAGUUUCCUCUUGAAAUGUCUUUUCCCAAGGCACUGUUGAGCAAUUCUCCAUGACUGCAAAAACACCAAGGGGGACAGAAAUAUUUCACACCACAACCACCAUCACAUCAGCAGCUAUUCUUUAUUCCUUCCUUAAACAACGCCCCUGGAAUUUGUUUGGUCCUUUGAGGGGGGAAAAAAAAUCAAAUUAUCUUCUGCAACAUCCAGGUGUUGGUAUUGAACACAUCUAGAAAUCAAAGCUUUGUUGGGCUCUUUAACC
Long non-coding RNA from Serinus canaria (Common canary), 449 nucleotides. RefSeq lists it as uncharacterized. The transcript is spliced from 2 exons. The record is from RefSeq and is a predicted model, not a curated record. Lineage: Eukaryota; Metazoa; Chordata; Aves; Passeriformes; Fringillidae.